CAAUAGCGUAUAUUAAAGCUGUUGCGGUUAAAAAGCUCGUAGUUGGAUUUCUGUCAAGGACAGCUGGUCCGCCCUCCGGGUGAGCACAUAGUUUGGUCUUGGCAUCUUGCUGGAAACUGUUGCUGCACUUGGCUGUGUGGCGCAGUGUCCAGCACUUUCACUUUGAGGAAAUUGGAGUGUUUCAAGCAGGCACAUGCCUUUGGACACAGUAGCAUGGAAUAAUUAGAUUGGGCUUUUGCUCCAAUUUGUCGGUUUCUGGAGCUGAGGUGAGAAUUAAUGGGGAUUGUUGGGGGCAUCCGAAUUUAGCCGUCAGAGGUGAAAUUCUUGGAUCUGCUAAAGACGGACAACUGCGAAAGCGUUUGCCCAGGAUGUUUUCAUUGA
RNAcentral lists this ribosomal RNA (381 nucleotides) under uncultured eukaryote. Its description in RNAcentral is "partial 18S ribosomal RNA". It matches the Rfam family "Eukaryotic small subunit ribosomal RNA", at positions 592 to 976 of the family's 1831-position model. The record is from RNAcentral.